This 477-nucleotide ribosomal RNA is filed under the name uncultured bacterium. RNAcentral describes it as "bacterial SSU rRNA". It matches the Rfam family "Bacterial small subunit ribosomal RNA", at positions 365 to 832 of the family's 1533-position model. The record is from RNAcentral.
UUCGCAAUGCCCGAAAGGGUGACGAAGCGACGCCGCGUGCGGGAAGAAGGCCUUCGGGUUGUAAACCGCUGUCGGGAGUUAAGAAAUGUAAGGAUGUUAAUAGCAUCUUUGCUUGACUAAGGCUCCGGAGGAAGCCACGGCUAACUCUGUGCCAGCAGCCGCGGUAAUACAGAGGCGGCAAGCGUUGUUCGGAGUUAUUGGGCGUAAAGAGCACGUAGGCGGCUAUGUAAGUCGGUUGUGAAAGCCUUCCGCUCAACGGGAGAACAGCAUCCGAUACUGCAUGGCUUGAGUGCGGGAGGGGAGAGUGGAACUUCUGGUGGAGCGGUGAAAUGCGUAGAUAUCAGAAGGAACGCCGGCGGCGAAAGCGGCUCUCUGGCCCAUAACUGACGCUGAGUGUGCGAAAGCUAGGGGAGCAAACGGGAUUAGAUACCCCGGUAGUCCUAGCCGUAAACGGUGGGCACUAAGUAGAGGGGUUUU